GGACAGGGUGCCACGGGGACAGGACCUUAGUGGGACAGGACAUCGUAGGGACGGGGCCUUGCGGGGACAGCGCAGCGUGGGGACGAUCGCACGGUCCAAGGGUGAGACCCCAAGUGAUCCUAAAACUCAUCCUGGUGCCCCCACGGAGCCCUGCCAGGGUGGGCUGGAGGGGGGACUCCCAGCCCUGCUCCCCCCUAGUCCAUCGCUGACCCCCCCGGGGGGGGUCCGGGCCGCCAGCACAGACCAGUUUGCUGCCUCCAUUCCCAGAAGAAAGAAUAAAGUUAAAACAUCUGUUAAUUUAUAAACCAA
This is a long non-coding RNA of Onychostruthus taczanowskii (white-rumped snowfinch), 309 nucleotides long. RefSeq lists it as uncharacterized. The record is from RefSeq and is a predicted model, not a curated record. The transcript is spliced from 2 exons. NCBI's taxonomy places the organism in Eukaryota, Metazoa, Chordata, Aves, Passeriformes, Passeridae.